Molecule: ribosomal RNA, 450 nt
Filed under: uncultured bacterium
Lineage: Bacteria
Description: partial 16S ribosomal RNA
Rfam family: Bacterial small subunit ribosomal RNA
Source: RNAcentral
GUGGGGAAUAUUGGACAAUGGGCGAAAGCCAGAUCCAGCCAUGCCGCGUGUGUGAAGAAGGUCUUCGGAUUGUAAAGCACUUUAAGUUGGGAGGAAGGGCAGUAAGUUAAUACCUUGCUGAUUUGACGUUACCGACAGAAUAAGCACCGGCUAACUUCGUGCCAGCAGCCGCGGUAAUACGAAGGGUGCAAGCGUUAAUCGGAAUUACUGGGCGUAAAGCGCGCGUAGGUGGUUUUGUAAGUUGGAGGUGAAAUCCCCGGGCUCAACCUGGGAACUGCCUCCAAAACUGCAUGACUAGAGUACGGUAGAGGGUAGUGGAAUUUCCUGUGUAGCGGUGAAAUGCGUAGAUAUAGGAAGGAACACCAGUGGCGAAGGCGACUACCUGGACUGAUACUGACACUGAGGUGCGAAAGCGUGGGGAGCAAACAGGAUUAGAAACCCGGGUAGUCC